Molecule: ribosomal RNA, 483 nt
Filed under: uncultured bacterium
Lineage: Bacteria
Description: partial 16S ribosomal RNA
Rfam family: Bacterial small subunit ribosomal RNA
Source: RNAcentral
UUGCACGCUGGCGGCAGGCCUAACACCUGCAAGUCGAGCGGAUGAAGGGAGCUUGCUCCUGGAUUCAGCGGCGGACGGGUGAGUAAUGUCUAGGAAUCUGCCUGGUAGUGGGGGAUAACGUCCGGAAACGGGCGCUAAUACCGCAUACGUCCUGAGGGAGAAAGUGGGGGAUCUUCGGACCUCACGCUAUCAGAUGAGCCUAGGUCGGAUUAGCUAGUUGGUGGGGUAAAGGCCUACCAAGGCGACGAUCCGUAACUGGUCUGAGAGGAUGAUCAGUCACACUGGAACUGAGACACGGUCCAGACUCCUACGGGAGGCAGCAGUGGGGAAUAUUGGACAAUGGGCGAAAGCCUGAUCCAGCCAUGCCGCGUGUGUGAAGAAGGUCUUCGGAUUGUAAAGCACUUUAAGUUGGGAGGAAGGGCAGUAAGUUAAUACCUUGCUGUUUUGACGUUACCAACAGAAUAAGCACCGGCUAACUUCGUG